Molecule: ribosomal RNA, 373 nt
Filed under: uncultured prokaryote
Description: bacterial SSU rRNA
Rfam family: Bacterial small subunit ribosomal RNA
Source: RNAcentral
AACGUAGGAGGCGAGCGUUAUCCGGAUUUACUGGGCGUAAAGCGUGCGUAGGCGGUUGGUCAAGUCAGAUGUUAAAGCCCCUGGCUCAACUAGGGGAGGUCAUUUGAUACUGUCCGGCUUGAGGGUGAGAGAGGAGAGUGGAAUUCCCGGUGUAGCGGUGGAAUGCGUAGAGAUCGGGAGGAACACCAGUGGCGAAAGCGGCUCUCUGGCUCACCCCUGACGCUGAGUGCACGAAAGCGUGGGGAGCAAACGGGAUUAGAUACCCCGGUAGUCCACGCCCUAAACGAUGAGGGCUGGGUGUCGGCAGGGUUUCCUGUCGGUGCCGAAGCUAACGCGAUAAGCCCUCCGCCUGGGGACUACGAACGCAAGUUUA